RNAcentral lists this microRNA precursor (117 nucleotides) under Selaginella moellendorffii. Its description in RNAcentral is "miR1084 stem-loop (smo-MIR1084)". Lineage: Eukaryota; Viridiplantae; Streptophyta; Lycopodiopsida; Selaginellales; Selaginellaceae. The record is from miRBase by way of RNAcentral.
CAUGACAAUGCUAACUCAGGUGGUAUGUUCCCAUCCAACAAAACGUUUCAUGGAAUUCCACUCGCAGGUUUGAUUGAGUGGGAGCAUACCACUGUGUUAGGAUUGUCACAAAGAAGC